Molecule: long non-coding RNA, 287 nt
Filed under: Otus sunia (Oriental scops-owl)
Lineage: Eukaryota; Metazoa; Chordata; Aves; Strigiformes; Strigidae
Description: lncRNA (ENSOSUG00000004317.1)
Source: RNAcentral
UCUUCUGUUUCCCAGAAGGAACAGAAGCCUGCUAGAAGGCCAGUAGCAGAUGAGAGGUUGAAAGGGAGUUCAGAGAUCAGUUUGAAGCAAACCAAAAUUAAUUUCUGCAUCUGGCUACAGAAAAGAAAGUGCCAGGCCAGAGUUAUAGGAACUCUCAGAGACACUAACCUCUUGAAAAUCUUGUCCAGCAGAGCAGUGACGUCUGUGAUAGCUUGAAAGCAGAGGGAUCACGACGGUUGUCUUGGGAGAGCAGGCUCUGACGGAGGUGAGACUGCCCAGGGUGUCUG